This 305-nucleotide unclassified non-coding RNA is filed under the name uncultured Ascomycota. Its description in RNAcentral is "sequence contains ITS1". The stretch from base 1 to 105 matches the Rfam family "5.8S ribosomal RNA", at positions 50 to 154 of the family's 154-position model. Lineage: Eukaryota; Fungi; Ascomycota. The record is from RNAcentral.
GAAAUGCGAUAAGUAAUGUGAAUUGCAGAAUUCAGUGAAUCAUCGAAUCUUUGAACGCACAUUGCGCCCGUUGGUAUUCCGAUGGGCAUGCCUGUUCGAGCGUCAUUUCACCUCCUCAAGUAUCUUGAUGUUGGGGUCUCGUCUUUCACAGACGGCCCUUGAAAUCAGCGGCGGCGUUUGCCUUUCUCCCGGCGUUGCAGAAAUACCACGCUAUGGAUUGACUGGUUGCGUUUGCCUAUGUUGUUAUUCGCGUCUUGACGCGUUAGUUUGACCUCGGAUCAGGUAGGGAUACCCGCUGAACUUAA